UAGGGAAUCUUCGGCAAUGGGGGCAACCCUGACCGAGCAACGCCGCGUGAGUGAAGAAGGUUUUCGGAUCGUAAAGCUCUGUUGUAAGAGAAGAACGUGUGUGAGAGUGGAAAGUUCACACAGUGACGGUAACUUACCAGAAAGGGACGGCUAACUACGUGCCAGCAGCCGCGGUAAUACGUAGGUCCCGAGCGUUGUCCGGAUUUAUUGGGCGUAAAGCGAGCGCAGGCGGUUUAAUAAGUCUGAAGUUAAAGGCAGUGGCUUAACCAUUGUUCGCUUUGGAAACUGUUAAACUUGAGUGCAGAAGGGGAGAGUGGAAUUCCAUGUGUAGCGGUGAAAUGCGUAGAUAUAUGGAGGAACACCGGUGGCGAAAGCGGCUCUCUGGUCUGUAACUGACGCUGAGGCUCGAAAGCGUGGGGAGUAAACAGG
This 429-nucleotide ribosomal RNA is filed under the name bacterium. Its description in RNAcentral is "partial 16S ribosomal RNA". It matches the Rfam family "Bacterial small subunit ribosomal RNA", at positions 355 to 776 of the family's 1533-position model. The record is from RNAcentral.